Molecule: ribosomal RNA, 492 nt
Filed under: uncultured bacterium
Lineage: Bacteria
Description: partial 16S ribosomal RNA
Rfam family: Bacterial small subunit ribosomal RNA
Source: RNAcentral
AGUGAACGCUGGCGGUAGGCCUAACACAUGCAAGUCGAACGGCAGCACAGUAAGAGCUUGCUCUUACGGGUGGCGAGUGGCGGACGGGUGAGGAAUACAUCGGAAUCUACUUUUUCGUGGGGGAUAACGUAGGGAAACUUACGCUAAUACCGCAUACGACCUACGGGUGAAAGCAGGGGAUCUUCGGACCUUGCGCGAUUGAAUGAGCCGAUGUCGGAUUAGCUAGUUGGCGGGGUAAAGGCCCACCAAGGCGACGAUCCGUAGCUGGUCUGAGAGGAUGAUCAGCAACACUGGAACUGAGACACGGUCCAGACUCCUACGGGAGGCAGCAGUGGGGAAUAUUGGACAAUGGGCGCAAGCCUGAUCCAACCAUACCGCGUGGGUGAAGAAGGCCUUAGGGUUGUAAAGCCAUUUUGUUGGGAAAGAAAAGCAGCAGGUUAAUACCCCGCUGUUCUGACGGUACCCAAAGAAUAAGCACCGGCUAACUUCGUG